ACAGCAGCAGCCACGGGAAUACAGAGGGUGCGAGCGUUAAUCGGAUUUACUGGGCGUAAAGCGUGCGUAGGCGGCUUUUUAAGUCGGAUGUGAAAUCCCUGAGCUUAACUUAGUAAUUGCAUUCGAUACUGGGAAGCUAGAGUAUGGGAGAGGAUGGUAGAAUUCCAGGUGUAGCGGUGAAAUGCGUAGAGAUCUGGAGGAAUACCGAUGGCGAAGGCAGCCAUCUGGCCUAAUACUGACGCUGAGGUACGAAAGCAUGGGGAGCAAACAGGAUUAGAUACCCGCGUAGUCCCUGUCUCUUAUAC
This 305-nucleotide ribosomal RNA is filed under the name uncultured bacterium. RNAcentral's name for it is "partial 16S ribosomal RNA". It matches the Rfam family "Bacterial small subunit ribosomal RNA", at positions 506 to 807 of the family's 1533-position model. The record is from RNAcentral.